GAACGCUGGCGGCGUGCCUAAUACAUGCAAGUCGAACGCACAGCGAAAGGUGCUUGCACCUUUCAAGUGAGUGGCGAACGGGUGAGUAACACGUGGACAACCUGCCUCAAGGCUGGGGAUAACAUUUGGAAACAGAUGCUAAUACCGAAUAAAACUUAGUGUCGCAUGACACAAAGUUAAAAGGCGCUUUGGCGUCACCUAGAGAUGGAUCCGCGGUGCAUUAGUUAGUUGGUGGGGUAAAGGCCUACCAAGACAAUGAUGCAUAGCCGAGUUGAGAGACUGAUCGGCCACAUUGGGACUGAGACACGGCCCAAACUCCUACGGGAGGCUGCAGUAGGGAAUCUUCCACAAUGGGCGAAAGCCUGAUGGAGCAACGCCGCGUGUGUGAUGAAGGCUUUCGGGUCGUAAAGCACUGUUGUAUGGGAAGAACAGCUAGAAUAGGGAAUGAUUUUAGUUUGACGGUACCAUACCAGAAAGGGACGGCUAAAUACGUGCCAGCAGCCGCGGUAAUACGUAUGUCCCGAGCGUUAUCCGGAUUUAUUGGGCGUAAAGCGAGCGCAGACGGUUGAUUAAGUCUGAUGUGAAAGCCCGGAGCUCAACUCCGGAAUGGCAUUGGAAACUGGUUAACUUGAGUGCAGUAGAGGUAAGUGGAACUCCAUGUGUAGCGGUGGAAUGCGUAGAUAUAUGGAAGAACACCAGUGGCGAAGGCGGCUUACUGGACUGUAACUGACGUUGAGGCUCGAAAGUGUGGGUAGCAAACAGGAUUAGAUACCCUGGUAGUCCACACCGUAAACGAUGAACACUAGGUGUUAGGAGGUUUCCGCCUCUUAGUGCCGAAGCUAACGCAUUAAGUGUUCCGCCUGGGGAGUACGACCGCAAGGUUGAAACUCAAAGGAAUUGACGGGGACCCGCACAAGCGGUGGAGCAUGUGGUUUAAUUCGAAGCAACGCGAAGAACCUUACCAGGUCUUGACAUCCUUUGAAGCUUUUAGAGAUAGAAGUGUUCUCUUCGGAGACAAAGUGACAGGUGGUGCAUGGUCGUCGUCAGCUCGUGUCGUGAGAUGUUGGGUUAAGUCCCGCAACGAGCGCAACCCUUAUUGUUAGUUGCCAGCAUUCAGAUGGGCACUCUAGCGAGACUGCCGGUGACAAACCGGAGGAAGGCGGGGACGACGUCAGAUCAUCAUGCCCCUUAUGACCUGGGCUACACACGUGCUACAAUGGCGUAUACAACGAGUUGCCAACCCGCGAGGGUGAGCUAAUCUCUUAAAGUACGUCUCAGUUCGGAUUGUAGUCUGCAACUCGACUACAUGAAGUCGGAAUCGCUAGUAAUCGCGGAUCAGCACGCCGCGGUGAAUACGUUCCCGGGUCUUGUACACACCGCCCGUCACACCAUGGGAGUUUGUAAUGCCCAAAGCCGGUGGCCUAACCUUUUAGGAAGGAGCCGUCUAAGGCAGGACAGAUGACUGG
This 1466-nucleotide ribosomal RNA is filed under the name Leuconostoc mesenteroides subsp. mesenteroides. RNAcentral's name for it is "bacterial SSU rRNA". It matches the Rfam family "Bacterial small subunit ribosomal RNA". The record is from RNAcentral. Lineage: Bacteria; Bacillati; Bacillota; Bacilli; Lactobacillales; Lactobacillaceae.